GGUCUGAUACAUUCGUGGGUAAAGUCAACCAGCUCAACUGGUUGAAUUCUGCGAGGACGGUCAGACUUGGGACCGGGAGAGGUGUGGGGUACGCUCAGGGUAGGGGUAAAAUCCUGUCAUCCUGAGCGGACCACCUGUUGCGAAGGCGCCACACUAGAACGGAUCCGACGGUCAGGGACGAAGCCUAGGGGCACGAACCGGAUUAGAUACCCGGGUAGUCCUAGGUGUAAACGCUGUGGACUUGAUGUUGGGGGUGCUCCGAGCACUCUCAGUGUCGAAGGCGAAAGGUGAUAAGUCCACUGCGCUGGGAAUACGGUCGCAAGGCUGAA
RNAcentral lists this ribosomal RNA (329 nucleotides) under uncultured archaeon. RNAcentral describes it as "bacterial SSU rRNA". It matches the Rfam family "Archaeal small subunit ribosomal RNA", at positions 527 to 853 of the family's 1478-position model. The record is from RNAcentral.